GACAGAGAAGAAGCCAGACAGCGGGGAGGCUGGCUUCAUCCUUUCCAGGAUGCCUAGGAAGAACCAAUCAAUACCUGGGAGACGAUACAUCUCCUUUCCACGUUACACGGGGACUAAAAUUUCAUUCCAGAAACUUCUGGGGUGCAGACACCUUCCAAAGCACAGUCCACAGGACAACUCCUGUACCUUCUUAAGCCUAGGACACCGUUAGGAUAUGUUUGAACCUGACUUUGGAUAUACUAAAACAUGUGGCAAUAUGUUAAAUACAGGAAACUGUGCACCUGUUCAUGUAUGGUGACGCCACGGAGGGCCAGACUGCUGCAGUGCCCAAGGUGUGCCAUCUCCACAGAGAACCCAUCUUCACUCCCUUUAGGCAAUUCCCUCCCACCAGAGGCAGGAAGCAAACUACAACACCACGCUGGAGCAGCAAACGUAACCAUGUGAGCUAUCACGCACCAGCUCCUUCCUUAUUUCUGAUCACCCUGGACUCAGUUAGCCCGGCUUCCCACAGUAAGACUGUGUCUAGACUGUGGGGACAACAGGCUGGGAGCCAGGAAUGGACCUCAAGCCUACGAGAGCAUCCAAGCUGCUUUACUAAUACCUUUGAACCUUCCGAUGACUGGAACAGAGUUGAAAUUUAUCAGAAAAUAGAAAAACAGCUUUGGCACAGCACUACCAGUCAUCAUGUACGUCUCUGAAUAACAAAUGUUCAUCUCUAGGUCAUGCCUCCAGAUGUGUAAUUGAAGAUACUAACUGGAUGAAUGAACAACUUAAAGUUCCAGGGGAACAAAGCGCUGUUCUGGAUGAUUCCGCCAGCACCACUCCCUCUUCCAGUUCAGCUUCACAGCUAUCCAGGGGUGAAGAGUGGGCACACAGCGAACUUUGAGAAAUGCACAUAAUAUGAAUCUCAAGGAAAGAGAAAAGCCACGAAAUCUAUACUAAGCGGAAUCCCCAUGUUAAGAUUCACCAAUAAAAGCCUUUUAGAGUCUG
This is a long non-coding RNA of Mus musculus (house mouse), 990 nucleotides long. RefSeq annotates it as protein kinase, AMP-activated, gamma 2 non-catalytic subunit, opposite strand 1. The record is from RefSeq and is marked predicted. The transcript is spliced from 7 exons. NCBI's taxonomy places the organism in Eukaryota, Metazoa, Chordata, Mammalia, Rodentia, Muridae.